GGGGAUUUAGCUUAGCUGGUAAAGUGCUUGCCUCACAUGUACAAGGCUGUGGGUUCAAUCCCCAGAAUCAUCA
This 73-nucleotide transfer RNA is filed under the name Ictidomys tridecemlineatus (thirteen-lined ground squirrel). RNAcentral's name for it is "Spermophilus tridecemlineatus (thirteen-lined ground squirrel) tRNA". It matches the Rfam family "tRNA". From Rfam's summary of the family: Transfer RNA (tRNA) molecules are approximately 80 nucleotides in length. Their secondary structure includes four short double-helical elements and three loops (D, anti-codon, and T loops). The record is from Rfam by way of RNAcentral. Lineage: Eukaryota; Metazoa; Chordata; Mammalia; Rodentia; Sciuridae.